GACGAACGCUGGCGGCGUGCUUAACACAUGCAAGUCGAACGGAAAGGCCCUGCUUGCAGGGUGCUCGAGUGGCGAACGGGUGAGUAACACGCGGGUGAUCUGCCCCUUACUUUGGGAUAAGCCUGGGAAACUGGGUCUAAUACUGGAUAGGACCAUGCUGUAGGUGGUGUGGUGGAAAGAUUAGUUUCGGUAAGGGUUGAGCUCGCGGCCUAUCAGCUUGUUGGUGGGGUAAUGGCCUACCAAGGCGUCGACGGGUAGCCGGCCUGAGCGGGUGGGCGGCCACAUUGGGACUGAGAUACGGCCCAGACGCCUACGGGAGGCAGCAGAGGGGAAUAUUGGAAAAUGGGCGCAAGCCUGAUGCAGCGACGCCGCGUGGGGGAUGACGGCCUUCGGGUUGUAGACUCCUUUCAGCCAUGACGAAGCCCUUGUGGUGACGGUAGUGGGAGAAGAAGCACCGGCUAACUACGUG
This 469-nucleotide ribosomal RNA is filed under the name uncultured bacterium. RNAcentral's name for it is "partial 16S ribosomal RNA". It matches the Rfam family "Bacterial small subunit ribosomal RNA", at positions 28 to 507 of the family's 1533-position model. The record is from RNAcentral.